Long non-coding RNA from Dreissena polymorpha, 2055 nucleotides. RefSeq lists it as uncharacterized. The transcript has 5 exons. The record is from RefSeq and is a predicted model, not a curated record. Lineage: Eukaryota; Metazoa; Mollusca; Bivalvia; Myida; Dreissenidae.
CUGUUGAGUGACGAAACCUCCGUAGAUACAGUAACUUUCCAUCAUAACAAAUAUGGCGGACGUGUCAGUUACGGUACAUUUUGGAAAACUUCAAAUGAACGUUUUCUAUGUAAAUAGAUAUGAACGAAAGGCUGGACACAUUUGAGAACCUCACGAACAUUGAGGUUGUAAGAAGAUAUCGGUUAGAUAAGGAUGGCAUCGAUCGCCUUAAUCAAGAAUAUGGUGAACGUUUAUCACCUAAAACACUUGGGCCAAAGAAUGUCUCUUCUUUAGAGAAAAUCCUUAUCACCCUACGCUAUUUUGCUCCGGUGAUUUCCAGAUAAAUGAUGGUAACAUUCAUAAUUUGUCACAGCCAUCAGUGUCAAGGGCUGUGACACAGUUCACUGAGAUGCUCGCUAGCAGGGAAACUACAUCAAGAUUUAUAUUGUUCCCUCUAAAUAUGCAUGAUGUCAGCAGGGUAAAGACGGAUUUCCAAGGCAUAGCCAACUUUCCAAAUGUUGUUGGCGUUGUGGAUGGCACUCAAGUGCAGAUGUGCAGGAUGCAUAUGUCAAUAGAAUGGGAUAUCAUUCUAUCAAUACCCAGAGCUGACAUAAUAACAAGAUCAAAAGUCGAAAGGGGAAUAGGCCAACUGAAAAGAAGAUGGGGAGUGCUGCAUGGCGAAAUUCGUUUGAAACCUGAAAAGGCUUGCCACAGCUCUGCUAAUGACAUCACCUCGAGUUGGUCAUUGUCGUGACAGCUGCAGUGACACCUGACAAAGACAAUUCAUUUGUCAUACUUUGACAUAUGUACAAGACUGAGCAAAUAAAUGUACUUUGGGUUAAAGAGUUAAUUUAUUAUCAUUCAAUAAGUGGAGAAGUGUUAAUCUUUUUGAUAGCCUUUGUUGUAAAAAAAUAUUUUGUACAAAGUAACAAUGGUAUUUACUAUUUUUUUUACAAUGAGUUAUUCUUUUGUUUGAUUGAUAGGGGUAGAGUGGGGACGGGUACUGGUAAGACUGGUGUAGAUUUUUGUUUAAACAACCUCCUUCUAAAAUAAAUAUUUUUAUUAUUUAUAAGACCUAAUGGAUGUGUGGUUAAAAUUAUGUAACCACAUUUAUGAAUUCUUUUUAUGUCCCCCACUAUAGCAGUGGGGGACAUAAUUGUUUUUGCCCUGUCUGUUGGUCUGUCUGUCUGUUUGCGCCAACUUUAACAUUUUGCAAUAACUUUUGCUAUAUUGAAGAUAGUAACUUCAUAUUUGGCAUGCAUGUGUAUCUCAUGAAGCUGCACAUUUUGAGUGGUGAAAGGUCAAGGUCAUCCUUCACAAUGUCAAGGUCAUCCUACAAGGUCAAACAUCAUAUAGGGGGACAUUGUGUUUCACAAACACAUCUUGUUCAAACAUAAAUGAGUUUUAUUUUUGAUUUAUUUUAAACUUGUUACCUCAGUGUAAUGACUAUUCAAACAACUAAAUUUUUGAAGGUGUAUUGUUACACCAUUACCAAUAGGUUUUUACUUUACAACAAAAUUAAACAAAAGCAACAUUGUUAAAAAUGACAUGAUAGUCUCAAUUUUUUUGAUACUUUACAUGAAGAGGACUUUAUUUUCAAAGUGAUAUAUAAGGCAUAUGAACAAAAAAAUGAGUACUUAUUUUAGAGGUAUUAAAGCAUUAACAUUUAUAAUAUUCUUUUCCUUAUAUAUUUGUUUAUUUCUAUUCUCAUUUUGCAAUUAAUUGAUGACUACCCGAGGCUGUUUGCCAUAAACACUGUAUUAUGCAAUAAAGAAUAUGGUAUGGUACCUGUCAAUGCACGGUCUCUUAUGUAAUCUGUAUAAAUGAGACGGUGCUUGGCAACCAUGUUUAGCCACUUUUUUUCCAGCUUUUCUGCCGUCCUGUUUUUAGUUGCUUUUUGAUUGAACUUAGUUUAAACCAUCGCCCACAUCUGCUUGUUUGUUUGACUUGUUAUUCCAGUUAUUAAAUACAUAACUUGUAUUCAUUAAACAAUCACUUACUAUGUACAUAGCUUUGAUUGCUUUAUAUUGGCUUAACCGGUAUAUGUAGCAACUAGUGCAAAUAAAUUGGUGUCAA